This 223-nucleotide ribosomal RNA is filed under the name Pleurotus nebrodensis. RNAcentral describes it as "partial 18S ribosomal RNA". The record is from RNAcentral. Lineage: Eukaryota; Fungi; Basidiomycota; Agaricomycetes; Agaricales; Pleurotaceae.
AGACAUAAUUCCUACUAGAUAUACGUGGGGUUAUAUAGAGAAAGAGACGAGAUCACCACGAUGUUACUCCCACGACAACCAGUUCGAGCACCUAAGGAACCCUAAAUUCUUUCAAAUGUCAGGUUGAUAAAGACCAAUGAAGGGGCACUCCCCCAGAGCCACGCAACAACUCAUAUGGAAUCCAUAAAAGAUCCUUUUUCCGAAGGGGUGACUGCGGAAGGAU